Non-coding RNA from Podarcis lilfordi (Lilford's wall lizard), 73 nucleotides. Lineage: Eukaryota; Metazoa; Chordata; Lepidosauria; Squamata; Lacertidae. The record is from the annotation of a GenBank genome assembly.
GCUGGGAUAGCUCAGUGGGUAGAGAAUGAGGCUCUUAAUCUCAGGGUUGUGGGUUUAAGCCCCACGGUGGGCA